RNAcentral lists this non-coding RNA (276 nucleotides) under Pediculus humanus corporis (human body louse). Lineage: Eukaryota; Metazoa; Arthropoda; Insecta; Psocodea; Pediculidae. The record is from RNAcentral.
GCCGAGAGACGUGGUGUACUCCUGUAAUACAACUACUCGGAGGUUGGGUAAAGAGAAUGUUUUAAGAGUGGGGGUUCUGGAAUUGGGUUUUCCAUGUGACUAGGCGUCCGCUAGGAGUAAAACUUUAACUUGGAUGCCUUGGGGGAGCUCGAAGUAGUCAGGUUGAGUCCAAAAAGGGGAAAAAGUUGAGAGUUGGAAACUGAGAGUCGUGGGUUCAAAUCCUGGGAUUGGGAGUUCAAUGUCGACUCGUCCAAACAAAAACAAAUGUGUACCUCC